GUAGGUGAACCUGCGGAAGGAUCAUUUUUGUUGCUUAAUAGACUUGAGGGGUUAACCCUCGAGCGUUGACUGAACACGUCUCAGUGUAUAUUGUAUACUGGGGUUGAACAUGGCAUUGUCUGACUAGUUUUAAUAUAAAAAACUUUCAACAACGGAUCUCUAGGCUCUU
Molecule: unclassified non-coding RNA, 169 nt
Filed under: rhizosphere metagenome
Description: partial ribosomal RNA internal transcribed spacer region
Source: RNAcentral